RNAcentral lists this ribosomal RNA (253 nucleotides) under uncultured bacterium. RNAcentral describes it as "partial 16S ribosomal RNA". It matches the Rfam family "Bacterial small subunit ribosomal RNA", at positions 524 to 776 of the family's 1533-position model. The record is from RNAcentral.
UACGUAGGGUGCGAGCGUUAAUCGGAAUUACUGGGCGUAAAGCGUGCGCAGGCGGUUGUGGAAGUCCGAUGUGAAAUCCCCGGGCUUAACCUGGGAAUGGCAUUUGGGACUGCACGGCUAGAGUGUGGCAGAGGGGGGUGGAAUUCCGCGUGUAGCAGUGAAAUGCGUAGAGAUGCGGAGGAACACCGAUGGCGAAGGCAGCCCCCUGGGUUAACACUGACACUCAUGCACGAAAGCGUGGGGAGCAAACAGG